RNAcentral lists this long non-coding RNA (1016 nucleotides) under Homo sapiens (human). RNAcentral describes it as "HSALNT0331436". Lineage: Eukaryota; Metazoa; Chordata; Mammalia; Primates; Hominidae. The record is from RNAcentral.
CACGUCGCCCGCCCUAGUCUGCUUUUGUGAAUCUCCACUUUGUUCAACCCCCACCCGCCGUCUCUCCCUCCCUGCGCCUUCCCUCUAACCUUAAAGACCCAGCUACCUCUACGCAAAUGGUAGCUACCUCUGCGCAGGUGGAAGUUGAGUUCGGUUCACGCGGGACCCUCUUCCCUGUGGCAAGCUGCUGAAGGAGACCUGCUGUUACUGCUUUAGCUGCUGUUCUGCUUAAUCUCAGACAGCUGGAAGCACGUGCCCAGCUUCCUUUCAAGUCUCUGGCCAAUGCAAUGUGAGCAGAAGUGAAGGGGCAACUUUCAGGUGAUGACUUGGAAAAGAAAGCUUAGUCCUCUGCUUCUCCUGUCACCCGAAAGAGAAACAGAGGCUUGUCUUGUUGAAGCCAGUGUGUUUGGUGUCUUUUUGUAUAGUGGCUUAGACAGUGGCCUAACUAGAAGACCAAGGCUCAAAGGAACACAUUUUGAGCUUCUCCACAGUUUGAGAACCUCUACAUUACCUACACCAAGCCUUCCCCAGCACUCAAUUUAUGGAAGACCAUUUCUCUUCUCAUGACACAUGUCCUCAUGUUGCUUUGGCCUGUUUUAAAGCUUUCUCAACUCCAUCUCAAUAAAGAAAUCUGCAGCUUUGUUGGAUGAGAGGAUCUAAAAAGUUCGUUCUUCCAAUCGGUUGUAAAUAUAGACACUAAUUUAUAAACUGACACAGGAACACACAGCAAAUUAGUAGAAAAUCCGAUUCCUGUUCCCUUUUCUCCUUGCAUUGUUUCCUGCCAAUGCUCACCAUUUCUUUAUCCUUUCCACUCUUCCUUGCUCCUCCUUCCCUUUAAUUUUUCUCUGUUGUGCCUAAAUAAGCUGUCCAUGCAUGGCACUCCAUGGGCUCUGAUAACAGACUCAACAAGACAAUGACUUAAAGAUGGAGUGACCAGCUGAUCAGUCACACAAGUUGUUCCAGUGUAAUUAUUUUCACAGGUGUCUCAGUUUGGAUGAUAAAUUAUAUGAACACUC